This 21-nucleotide small nuclear RNA is filed under the name Arabidopsis thaliana (thale cress). RNAcentral describes it as "snRNA_01774". The record is from RNAcentral. Lineage: Eukaryota; Viridiplantae; Streptophyta; Magnoliopsida; Brassicales; Brassicaceae.
CAGGCAAACUCAUAACAGCCU